CGACGGGUGAGUAACGCGUGGGUAACCUGCCCCACACAGGGGGACAACAGCUGGAAACGGCUGCUAAUACCGCAUAAGCGCACAAGGGCUGCGUGGCCUGGUGUGAAAAGCUGAGGCGGUGUGGGAUGGACCCGCGUCCGAUUAGGUAGUUGGCAGGGUAGAGGCCUACCAAGCCUGCGAUCGGUAGCCGGCCUGAGAGGGUGGACGGCCACAUUGGGACUGAGACACGGCCCAAACUCCUACGGGAGGCAGCAG
Molecule: ribosomal RNA, 255 nt
Filed under: uncultured bacterium
Lineage: Bacteria
Description: partial 16S ribosomal RNA
Rfam family: Bacterial small subunit ribosomal RNA
Source: RNAcentral